Aedes aegypti (yellow fever mosquito) is the source of this 46-nucleotide non-coding RNA. The record is from Rfam. NCBI's taxonomy places the organism in Eukaryota, Metazoa, Arthropoda, Insecta, Diptera, Culicidae.
CCAUCGGCCCUUUUAAGGGCCAUCAAAUUAGUCAAAAAUAACUAUU